This 438-nucleotide ribosomal RNA is filed under the name uncultured bacterium. RNAcentral's name for it is "partial 16S ribosomal RNA". It matches the Rfam family "Bacterial small subunit ribosomal RNA", at positions 339 to 795 of the family's 1533-position model. The record is from RNAcentral.
CUACGGGCCGCUGCAGUGAGGAAUAUUGCACAAUGGGGAAACCCUGAUGCAGCAACGCCGCGUGGAGGAUGACGCAUUUCGGUGUGUAAACUCCUUUUAUGAGUCAAGAAAAUGACGGUAGCUCAUGAAUAAGCACCGGCUAACUCCGUGCCAGCAGCCGCGGUAAUACGGGGGGUGCAAGCGUUACUCGGAAUCACUGGGCGUAAAGGACGCGUAGGCGGGCUUGUAAGUCAGGUGUGAAAUCCUACAGCUUAACUGUAGAACUGCACUUGAAACUACGAGCCUAGAGUAUGGGAGGGGCAGAUGGAAUUAGUGGUGUAGGGGUAAAAUCCGUAGAUAUCACUAGGAAUACCGAAAGCGAAGGCGAUCUGCUGGAACAUUACUGACGCUAAGGCGUGAAAGCGUGGGGAGCAAACGGGAUUAGAUACCCUUGUAGUC